RNAcentral lists this long non-coding RNA (1008 nucleotides) under Homo sapiens (human). RNAcentral's name for it is "HSALNT0350293". The record is from RNAcentral. Lineage: Eukaryota; Metazoa; Chordata; Mammalia; Primates; Hominidae.
UGCUAAGCCACUGGCCAGGAGAUGAUGCUGAAUAGGGAGAGUUCAGGCUUUUGAGACCGCCUGCCCUGAGUAGGAAUCCUGUCCCUGAAAAAUGCUAAGCGUUUGACCCUGCACAGGUUUAAUAACCAGCCUUAGUCUCACCUGAAAAGUAGGAAUAACAAUAAUCACCUUGAAAAUAUGUGUCAGGAUUAAGGGAGUUCACAUCUGUCAAACUUUAGCACGAAGAGGCAUUCAUUUCAUAUUCAUUGAUAUAAUAUGAAUGGUACCAUAUUCAUUCUUACUAUUUCAUCCAAAUGAGAAGAGAACUUUCAGAGAGAAUGGAAUAGAAGAAGUCAAGAUUGGACAGGACAUGAGUUAGGAGAGAGGGUGAUGGCUUGGACCAAGGUGAUGGUCCUGGAGACAAAGAGAAAUUUGCAGCUUUCAGAUGUGUUUUUACAUGGAAGGAAGAACUGACCAGACAUGCUGAUGGGCUGAACAAGAGGAAUCCAGCCUAAGGAGACAGUCAGAAGUGCUCACCAAGAUUCAGAGGUUCUUCAUUGCCUUACCAUAUUUGUAAGUCACAAACUGGAAGCUACCACAGGGUCCAGCCUUAUGAGAGUGGUGCAGUCAAUCCCAGAUCUUCCAUAUGACAGGGAGCUGGUCAUCCUUCAAAGUGCUGCUUACUAAGAUGACAAUGAGACUGGAAAAUUCUCAUUAAAUAAACAAAUGGCUGGGUAUGACCACAAUCCCAGUUCUGGCCGAUGGUAUGUAGGCAGAGCCAAUGGAGGCAAACAGCCUCUCCUUUCCCUUCUUUCCUUCUUGUCACCUGGGAUGAGGAUGUGAAGGUGAAUCUUCAGGGACCAUGCAGAGCGGGCAACACGCUGGAGAUGGCAGCUGAGUGAGAAGAUCAAAGGAGCCUGGUUCGGACAGUUGACAUCAAGAUUGACACAUGAGAAACAAGAUGGACUUUGAAGGAAGACAACCACAACAACUCCUAGAUUACACAGUAAAGAUGCAUUUAAGCCAGCA